AGUUCGAUUCUGGCUCAGAUUGAACGCUGGCGGGAUGCUUUACACAUGCAAGUCAGACGGCAGCACGGACUUCGAUGCGGUGGCGAGUGGCGAACGGGUGAGUAAUGUAUCGGGCGGUGCCUAGUAGCGGGGGAUAACUACGCGAAAGCGUAGCUAAUACCGCAUACGCCCUUCGGGGAAAGCGGGGGACCUUCGGGCCUCGCACUAUUAGAGCGACCGAUAUCGGUUAGCUCAGUUGGUGGGGUAACAGCUCACCAAGGCGACGAUCCAUAGCUGGUUUUGAGAGGACGACCAGCCACUGGGACUGAGACACGGCCCAGAUACGGGGAGGCAGCAGUGGGGAAUUUUGGACAAUGGGGGAAACCCUGAUCCAGCCAUCCCGCGUGUGCGAUGAAGGCCUUCGGGUUGUAAAGCACUUUUGGCAGGAAAGAAGCAGCUGCGGAUAAUACCCGUGCAACAGCAGGCCUGCAGAAUAAGCACCGGCUAACUACGUGCCAGCAGCAGUAUGCAGCGGGUGCAAGCAUUAAUCGGAAUUACUGGGCGUAAAGCGUGCGCAGCGGUUCGAGAAGAAAGAUGUGAAAUCUGAGCUUAACUUUGGAACUGCCGCACCUUUCACCGGGCUAGAGGUGUUAGAGGAGGUGGAAUUCCGCGUGUAGCAGUGAAAUGCGUAGAUAUGCGGAGGAACACGAUGGCGAAGGCAGCCUCCUGGGAUAACACUGACGCUCAUGCACGAAAGCGUGGGGAGCAAACAGGAUUAGAUACCCUGGUAUUCACGCCCUAAACGAUGUCAACUAGCUGUUGGGGCCUUCGGGCCUUGGUAGCGCAGCUAACGCGUGAAGUUGACCGCCUGGGAAAUACGGUCGCAAGAUUAAAACUCAAAGGAAUUGACGGGGACCCGCACAAGCGGUGGAUGAUGUGGAUUAAUUCGAUGCAACGCGAAAACCGCCCACCUACCCUUGACAUGUCUGGAAUGCCGAAGAGAUUUGGCAGUGCUCGCAAAAGAGAACCGGAACACAGGUGCUGCAUGGCUGUCGUCAGCUCGUGUCGUGAGAUGUUGGGUUAAGUCCCGCAACGAGCGCAACCCUUGUCAUUAGUUGCUACGAAAGGAGGCACUCUAAUGAGACUACUGGUGACCAAACUGGAGGAAGGUGGAUGGCGUCAGUCCUCAUGGCCCUUAUGGGUAGGGCUUCACACGUCAUACAAUGGUCGGGACAGAAAAUUCGUAACGCAGAGAGCCAAUCAAAACCCGAUCGUAGUCGGAUCGCAGUCUGCAACUCGACUGCGUGAAGUCGGAAUCGCUAAUAGUAAUCGCGGAUCGGCAUGUCCGCGGUGAAUACGUUCCCGGGUCUUGUACACACCGCCCGUCACACACCGCAGGUGGUUUACCAAGAAGUAGUUAGCCUAACCGCAAGGCGAUUACCACGGUAGGAUUCAUGACUGGGGUGAAGUCGUAACAAGGUAA
RNAcentral lists this ribosomal RNA (1462 nucleotides) under uncultured Bordetella sp. RNAcentral's name for it is "partial 16S-23S ribosomal RNA intergenic spacer". It matches the Rfam family "Bacterial small subunit ribosomal RNA". The record is from RNAcentral. Lineage: Bacteria; Pseudomonadati; Pseudomonadota; Betaproteobacteria; Burkholderiales; Alcaligenaceae.